CGACGGCGUCAGUAUCUCCGGCGUGGACGCGCGCGGCGUUGCCGGGAUGGAAAUGAGCUCGGUCUCGGGCCGCUCUUCCAUGCUCGUGUUCAUGUUCAUGGUACAAAUAGUUGUGUAAUAAAAUAAGUGAGUACUAGUGGAGUACGUAGGAGUGUUAUUUUUGGUGGUUUGUUAUGUGUUUUUUAGUUGGUGGGGGAUUUGAAACGCAU
Long non-coding RNA from Daucus carota subsp. sativus, 209 nucleotides. RefSeq lists it as uncharacterized. The transcript has 2 exons. The record is from RefSeq and is a predicted model, not a curated record. Lineage: Eukaryota; Viridiplantae; Streptophyta; Magnoliopsida; Apiales; Apiaceae.